UACGGGGGGGGUAAGCGUUGUUCGGAAUUACUGGGCGUAAAGGGCUCGUAGGCGGCCAACUAAGUCGGACGUGAAAUCCCUCAGCUUAACUGGGGAACUGCGUCCGAUACUGGAUGGCUUGGAUUUGGGAGAGGGAUGCGGAAUUCCAGGUGUAGCGGUGAAAUGCGUAGAUAUCUGGAGGAACACCGGUGGCGAAGGCGGCACCCUGGACCAAUAUUGACGCUGAGGAGCGAAAGCCAGGGGAGCAAACGGG
RNAcentral lists this ribosomal RNA (253 nucleotides) under uncultured bacterium. RNAcentral's name for it is "partial 16S ribosomal RNA". It matches the Rfam family "Bacterial small subunit ribosomal RNA", at positions 524 to 776 of the family's 1533-position model. The record is from RNAcentral.